Molecule: ribosomal RNA, 472 nt
Filed under: uncultured organism
Description: bacterial SSU rRNA
Rfam family: Bacterial small subunit ribosomal RNA
Source: RNAcentral
GACGAACGCUGGCGGCGUGCCUAACACAUGCAAGUCGAGCGGAGGAUAGCAGAAAGGUAACUUGAAGUUAUUCUUAGCGGCGGACGGGUGAGUAACACGUGGGCAACCUGCCUUGAAGAGGGGGAUAACACCGGGAAAUCGGUGCUAAUACCGCAUAACAUACGUUUCUUGCAUGAGAGAUGUAUCAAAGGAGAAAUCCGCUUUAAGAUGGGCCCGCGGCUGAUUAGCUAGUUGGUAAGGUAACGGCUUACCAAGGCGACGAUCAGUAGCCGACCUGAGAGGGUGACCGGCCACACUGGAACUGAGACACGGUCCAGACUCCUACGGGAGGCAGCAGUGGGGAAUAUUGCGCAAUGGGGGAAACCCUGACGCAGCAACGCCGCGUGGAGGAAGAAGGUCUUCGGAUUGUAAACUCCUGUCUUCUGGGACGAUAAUGACGGUACCAGAGGAGGAAGCCACGGCUAACUACGUG